Non-coding RNA from Orbilia ellipsospora, 103 nucleotides. Lineage: Eukaryota; Fungi; Ascomycota; Orbiliomycetes; Orbiliales; Orbiliaceae. The record is from the annotation of a GenBank genome assembly.
GGUGGUAUGGCGCAACCGGUUAGCGCAUCCGGCUGUUACGAGCUUCUCUUCCAAGAAGCUUCAGCAAACCGGGAGGUUGUAAGUUCGAGUCUUACUAUCACCG